This 253-nucleotide ribosomal RNA is filed under the name uncultured bacterium. Its description in RNAcentral is "partial 16S ribosomal RNA". It matches the Rfam family "Bacterial small subunit ribosomal RNA", at positions 524 to 776 of the family's 1533-position model. The record is from RNAcentral.
UACGUAGGGUGCGAGCGUUGUCCGGAAUUAUUGGGCGUAAAGAGCUUGUAGGCGGUCUGUCGCGUCUGCUGUGAAAAUCCGGGGCUCAACCCCGGACUUGCAGUGGGUACGGGCAGACUAGAGUGUGGUAGGGGAGACUGGAAUUCCUGGUGUAGCGGUGAAAUGCGCAGAUAUCAGGAGGAACACCGAUGGCGAAGGCAGGUCUCUGGGCCACCACUGACGCUGAGAAGCGAAAGCAUGGGGAGCGAACAGG